GAACCUUCGGGGGACGAUAACGGCGUCGAGCGGCGGACGGGUGAGUAAUGCCUAGGAAAUUGCCCUGAUGUGGGGGAUAACCAUUGGAAACGAUGGCUAAUACCGCAUGAUGCCUACGGGCCAAAGAGGGGGACCUUCGGGCCUCUCGCGUCAGGAUAUGCCUAGGUGGGAUUAGCUAGUUGGUGAGGUAAGGGCUCACCAAGGCGACGAUCCCUAGCUGGUCUGAGAGGAUGAUCAGCCACACUGGAACUGAGACACGGUCCAGACUCCUACGGGAGGCAGCAGUGGGGAAUAUUGCACAAUGGGCGCAAGCCUGAUGCAGCCAUGCCGCGUGUGUGAAGAAGGCCUUCGGGUUGUAAAGCACUUUCAGUCGUGAGGAAGG
Molecule: ribosomal RNA, 382 nt
Filed under: Vibrio parahaemolyticus
Lineage: Bacteria; Pseudomonadati; Pseudomonadota; Gammaproteobacteria; Vibrionales; Vibrionaceae
Description: bacterial SSU rRNA
Rfam family: Bacterial small subunit ribosomal RNA
Source: RNAcentral